UUUUAAAUCAGCAUCAGUUUAAUUAUUCACAACCCCCCAAAAAAAACAGAAAGAAAAAAAUAUUUAACAAUCUACAGUCAUCAGUAUUCUUAUACAAUUCCUCGCCAUUGGAACAGAUAAAUCCAUCUACACGUUAUUUCCCUCUGAAUAAUAUUAAUGCUAGUCUCUAUUAAGACGUCUCCCUUGUGCUUCUUCUAAAACACUGUAAGACUAUUAUUAUUACUGCCAUCCUCUCUGGGACGUGUCUUAGUUGGGAUUUGAAAAGCUCAUCAUUCACAGAAUCAUCUCCAUUUGAAGGGAAGCUGUCUGGUCGGACUGACUCAACGUCAACUGAAGCCAUCAGGAAGCUUUUACACGGUCAGUAGAAGGUAAGACUCGACUACAGCACUGGUGAUACAGAACCAAAGAGUAGGACGACGACAUGUCUGCAGGUCUUAUUAAUCCUUCAAACCCAGAGUGUGGACAUCUGUGGCACUGAGCUCUAACUCCAGGUCAACCAAUCACAGGCCCUACAGGGACAAAGAGUCUGUGGUUGGGUGUUGUAGAUUAACAAGGUCUAGUAAGGCAGACCUUUAGAAACCACUUAGAAUGGUGAGUCAAUCAUUUCUUCAUGUUUCUAGACAUGUUGCCAGAUUUGGUUUCUUAUCCAUCCAAAUGGAACGCAAGCGUGACCUGAAUUUCAAGAAAAUCACCAACUGAGAAAAUGAAUCAACUCUUCCCUUUAUUCUCUACCAUUUUAGCCAAUAUUAGGAGUUGGGUGGUUGGUGAAGGUCAACACUAGGCGGCACAAAGUUCCCCGUCUGUACUAUAAAACCACUGCAGAAGAGGACACAACGAGAUGAUGAACUGCUGGCCAAAGAUUAUAGACAACAUGAUGCCAUUUCUGCUUGUAUUAAUAUGAGAAAGGUGAAGGUUGAGAAAUAUCCAAUCCAACCAGCCACUGGACAUUUGAUUCCUUUAAGCUUCAGGGGUUGCCUCACUAGAAGAUGUUAACUCUGACUUCUGUUGUCCGGGUCUGUAGCUGGGAACAUUUUGAGUUUGCC
This is a long non-coding RNA of Amphiprion ocellaris (clown anemonefish), 1043 nucleotides long. The record is from Ensembl. NCBI's taxonomy places the organism in Eukaryota, Metazoa, Chordata, Actinopteri, Pomacentridae.